This 485-nucleotide ribosomal RNA is filed under the name uncultured bacterium. RNAcentral describes it as "bacterial SSU rRNA". It matches the Rfam family "Bacterial small subunit ribosomal RNA", at positions 30 to 507 of the family's 1533-position model. The record is from RNAcentral.
AUUGAACGCUGGCGGCAGGCCUAACACAUGCAAGUCGAACGUGAAAACCCCUUCGGGGGCAAGUAGAGUGGCGAACGGGUGAGUAACGCGUAGGAAUCUACCCAGGAGUGGGGGACAACCCGGAGAAAUCCGGGCUAAUACCGCAUAUGCCCUACGGGGUAAAGUGGGGGACCUUUAGGGGCCUCACGCUUUUGGAUGAGCCUGCGUCGGAUUAGCUUGUUGGUAAGGUAACGGCUUACCAAGGCGACGAUCCGUAGCUGGUCUGAGAGGAUGACCAGCCACACUGGGACUGAGACACGGCCCAGACUCCUACGGGAGGCAGCAGUGGGGAAUAUUGGACAAUGGGGGCAACCCUGAUCCAGCCAUGCCGCGUGUGUGAAGAAGGCCUUCGGGUUGUAAAGCACUUUCAGUAGGGAAGAAAAGCCUAAGGUUAAUACCCUUGGGUCUUGACGGUACCUACAGAAGAAGCACCGGCUAAUUCCGUG